The sequence is a transfer RNA, 74 nucleotides long. It matches the Rfam family "tRNA". From Rfam's summary of the family: Transfer RNA (tRNA) molecules are approximately 80 nucleotides in length. Their secondary structure includes four short double-helical elements and three loops (D, anti-codon, and T loops). The record is from Rfam.
GGUCUUAUAGUGUAGCGGUCAUCACGUCUCCUUGACGUGGAGAAGGUCCCCGGGUUCAAGUCCGGGUAAGACCA